GGGUGUAAAAUAACCCCAACCGAAGUUUGUAAAUGGUCAACCCUUCCAGGGUUUUUCCAGCUUCCGACCUUGUGUGGCGUCUUUCUGAACUCCCUCGACCAUCUGAGCUUCAAUAAUGCCAUCCGGGCUUAUCCAAUCAUGAGCUUCUCCAUUCAUCUACCUGAUUGCUCCAAACGCCCUCUGAACUCCUCUAUCAGUUGAUUUUCUACAGUGAUCGACUAUUCUUCGAAUCCCUUCUAGACUUCUUUCGGCCAUGG
This 257-nucleotide long non-coding RNA is filed under the name Elaeis guineensis (African oil palm). RNAcentral describes it as "long non-coding RNA (EGUI_LNC053280)". The record is from RNAcentral. Lineage: Eukaryota; Viridiplantae; Streptophyta; Magnoliopsida; Arecales; Arecaceae.